RNAcentral lists this ribosomal RNA (168 nucleotides) under uncultured bacterium. RNAcentral describes it as "partial 16S ribosomal RNA". It matches the Rfam family "Bacterial small subunit ribosomal RNA", at positions 1334 to 1500 of the family's 1533-position model. The record is from RNAcentral.
GCUGGUAAUCGCGGAUCAGCAUGCCGCGGUGAAUACGUUCCCGGGCCUUGUACACACCGCCCGUCACACCAUGGGAGUUUGUAACACCCGAAGUCAGUGUCCCCAACCGCAAGGAGGGAGCUGCCGAAGGUGGGAUAAGCGACUGGGGUGAAGUCGUAACAAGGUAUC